Molecule: ribosomal RNA, 508 nt
Filed under: uncultured bacterium
Lineage: Bacteria
Description: partial 16S ribosomal RNA
Rfam family: Bacterial small subunit ribosomal RNA
Source: RNAcentral
AUUGAACGCUGGCGGCAGGCCUAACACAUGCAAGUCGAGCGGCAGCGGGAAAGUAGCUUGCUACUUUUGCCGGCGGGCGGCGGACGGGUGAGUAAUGCCUGGGAAAUUGCCCAGUCGAGGGGGAUAACAGUUGGAAACGACUGCUAAUACCGCAUACGCCCUACGGGGGAAAGCAGGAGACCUCCGGGCCUUGCGCGAUUGGAUAUGCCCAGGUGGGAUUAGCUAGUUGGUGAGGUAAUGGCUCACCAAGGCGACGAUCCCUAGCUGGUCUGAGAGGAUGAUCAGCCACACUGGAACUGAGACACGGUCCAGACUCCUACGGGAGGCAGCAGUGGGGAAUAUUGCACAAUGGGGGAAACCCUGAUGCAGCCAUGCCGCGUGUGUGAAGAAGGCCUUCGGGUUGUAAAGCACUUUCAGCGAGGAGGAAAGGUUGAUGCCUAAUACGUAUCAACUGUGACGUUACUCGCAGAAGAAGCACCGGCUAACUCCGUGCCAGCCGCCGCCGUAA